This 454-nucleotide long non-coding RNA is filed under the name Salmo salar (Atlantic salmon). RNAcentral's name for it is "lncRNA (ENSSSAG00000091434.1)". The record is from RNAcentral. Lineage: Eukaryota; Metazoa; Chordata; Actinopteri; Salmoniformes; Salmonidae.
GCUGAGGGUUAUAGCAUGUUGGCUGUUACUAAGAAUUUUGGGGGGAAGGGGAAGGCACCUAGGGAGUGCUUAGGCAAGAGGCCUGCGGGCAUAUAUUACCCGUAGUAGUUUGUCUAUGCACACUAGGAAAGACCUGGGUGGACCAUCCCCUGUAUUUUGGUUAGUGCACCAGGUGGUGCUAGUUAGAUAAACCAUACUUCAUACAAAGCCAACCAAGCCUCAAUUCAAGACAAGUAAUGUCAACUGUCAAUCAUUCCCUGCCAUGUAUCAUCUCUAAUAAAUUAAUCUUUAGACUUUUAAACUGAACUGCAUCUGCUCUUUAACUGGAAUCCUACAGAAGACGGGCGUCACCAUAACUCACCUAAACCUUAAUCGGUUAUAGUCUAUAAACCAAAGUUUUGGUCAGUGUUUGCCUGGGCACCAUUAUUAGGAAAUAACUAGAAAUGUAUAAAAG